UUUAUUUUUCAGAGCAGAAACAGAGAGAGGCUUGUCUAGAAAACACAUAAUAGAGGGUCUAAGGGCGUCACUGGAGAGACUUCAGUUAGAGUAUGUGGACGUAGUGUUUGCUAACAGACCCGACCCCAACACACCAAUGGAAGGAGAUCCAUUUAACACUUCAAAAUCAAGAACAUUCAUCAUAGAAG
This is a long non-coding RNA of Sinocyclocheilus rhinocerous, 188 nucleotides long. RefSeq lists it as uncharacterized. The record is from RefSeq and is a predicted model, not a curated record. The transcript is spliced from 3 exons. NCBI's taxonomy places the organism in Eukaryota, Metazoa, Chordata, Actinopteri, Cypriniformes, Cyprinidae.